RNAcentral lists this ribosomal RNA (423 nucleotides) under uncultured bacterium. RNAcentral's name for it is "bacterial SSU rRNA". It matches the Rfam family "Bacterial small subunit ribosomal RNA", at positions 358 to 773 of the family's 1533-position model. The record is from RNAcentral.
GGAAUAUUGGACAAUGGGCGAAAGCCUGAUCCAGCCAUGCCGCGUGUGUGAAGAAGGUCUUCGGAUUGUAAAGCACUUUAAGUUGGGAGGAAGGGUAGUAACUUAAUACGUUGCUAUUUUGACGUUACCGACAGAAUAAGAACCGGCUAACUUCGUGCCAGCAGCCGCGGUAAUACGAAGGGUGCACGCGUUAAUCGGAAUUACUGGGCGUAAAGCGCGCGUAGGUGGUUCAGUAAGUUGGAUGUGAAAUCCCCGGGCUCAACCUGGGAACUGCAUCCAAAACUGCUGAACUAGAGUACGGUAGAGGGUGGUGGAAUUUCCUGUGUAGCGGUGAAAUGCGUAGAUAUAGGAAGGAACACCAGUGGCGAAGGCGGCUCACUGGCUCGAUACUGACGCUGAGGUGCGAAAGCGUGGGGAGCAAAC